This 439-nucleotide ribosomal RNA is filed under the name uncultured bacterium. Its description in RNAcentral is "partial 16S ribosomal RNA". It matches the Rfam family "Bacterial small subunit ribosomal RNA", at positions 339 to 795 of the family's 1533-position model. The record is from RNAcentral.
CUACGGGGCGCAGCAGUGAGGAAUAUUGCACAAUGGGGGGAACCCUGAUGCAGCAACGCCGCGUGGAGGAUGACGCAUUUCGGUGUGUAAACUCCUUUUAUAUGUCAAGAAAAUGACGGUAGCAUAUGAAUAAGCGCCGGCUAACUCCGUGCCAGCAGCCGCGGUAAUACGGAGGGCGCAAGCGUUACUCGGAAUCACUGGGCGUAAAGGACGCGUAGGCGGGUUGAAAAGUCAGGUGUGAAAGCCUACAGCUUAACUGUAGAACUGCACUUGAAACUCUCAACCUAGAGUAUGGGAGGGGCAGAUGGAAUUAGUGGUGUAGGGGUAAAAUCCGUAGAUAUCACUAGGAAUACCUAAGGCGAAGGCGAUCUGCUGGAACAUUACUGACGCUAAGGCGUGAAAGCGUGGGGAGCAAACAGGAUUAGAUACCCUCGUAGUC